Molecule: ribosomal RNA, 497 nt
Filed under: uncultured bacterium
Lineage: Bacteria
Description: partial 16S ribosomal RNA
Rfam family: Bacterial small subunit ribosomal RNA
Source: RNAcentral
GAUGAACGCUGGCGGCGUGCCUAAUACAUGCAAGUCGAGCGAACAGACGAGGAGCUUGCUCCUCUGACGUUAGCGGCGGACGGGUGAGUAACACGUGGAUAACCUACCUAUAAGACUGGGAUAACUUCGGGAAACCGGAGCUAAUACCGGAUAAUAUAUUGAACCGCAUGGUUCAAUAGUGAAAGACGGUUUUGCUGUCACUUAUAGAUGGAUCCGCGCCGCAUUAGCUAGUUGGUAAGGUAACGGCUUACCAAGGCGACGAUGCGUAGCCGACCUGAGAGGGGGCGCGGCAACAGUGGAACUGCUACACGGCCCAGACCCAGAGGGGAGGCAGCAGUGGGGACUCUUCCAAAGGGGGCAAAGCCCAGAAGGAGCAACGCCGCGGGAGUAAUAAAGGUCUUCGUAUCGAAAAACUCUUUUAUGGGGAAAAAACAAAUGUAUAAGUAACACUGCACGUCUGGAGGUUACAUAAUAAGAAGGCCAGGGCAAACCACGGC